GAUGAAGAACGCAGCGAAAUGCGAUAAGUAAUGUGAAUUGCAGAAUUCAGUGAAUCAUCGAAUCUUUGAACGCACAUUGCGCCCCCUGGCAUUCCGAGGGGCAUGCCUGUUCGAGCGUCAUUAUAACCCCUCAAGCUCAGCUUGGUGUUGGGGCCUGCUGCACUGGCAGCCCUUAAAAUCAGUGGCGGCGCCAUCUGGCUCUAAGCGUAGUAAUUCUUCUCGCUAUGGAGUCCUGGUGGAUGCUUGCCAUCAACCCCCAAUUUUUCUAUGGUUGACCUCGGAUCAGGUAGGGAUACCCGCUGAACUUAAGCAUAUCAAUAAGCGGAGGA
RNAcentral lists this unclassified non-coding RNA (329 nucleotides) under soil metagenome. Its description in RNAcentral is "partial contains 5.8S ribosomal RNA, internal transcribed spacer 2, and large subunit ribosomal RNA". The stretch from base 1 to 120 matches the Rfam family "5.8S ribosomal RNA", at positions 35 to 154 of the family's 154-position model. The record is from RNAcentral.